UACGAAGGGGGCUAGCGUUGCUCGGAAUCACUGGGCGUAAAGCGCACGUCGGCGGCUUUUUAAGUCAGGGGUGAAAUCCUGGAGCUCAACUCCAGAACUGCCUUUGAUACUGAGAAGCUUGAGUCCGGGAGAGGUGAGUGGAACUGCGAGUGUAGAGGUGAAAUUCGUAGAUAUUCGCAAGAACACCAGUGGCGAAGGCGGCUCACUGGCCCGGUACUGACGCUGAGGUGCGAAAGCGUGGGGAGCAAACAGG
RNAcentral lists this ribosomal RNA (253 nucleotides) under uncultured bacterium. RNAcentral describes it as "partial 16S ribosomal RNA". It matches the Rfam family "Bacterial small subunit ribosomal RNA", at positions 524 to 776 of the family's 1533-position model. The record is from RNAcentral.